Molecule: long non-coding RNA, 659 nt
Filed under: Olea europaea (common olive)
Lineage: Eukaryota; Viridiplantae; Streptophyta; Magnoliopsida; Lamiales; Oleaceae
Description: long non-coding RNA (OEUR_LNC001457)
Source: RNAcentral
UGAAGUUUAUCAGCAGGAUAGUCCAGGGCCAUUGCUGAUAUAAGAGUAUUCAUAACAUCUACACUAGGCUCUUUUAUGGGAUUUGUAGUGCAAAUAAACACAUCAAUGGAUGGAAGUUUAUCAUUUCCAGGCAGUCUUUCUGGAAAAACUUUUCUGGAAAUCGGGUUCCACUGAAAAGCCAGGCUCAAAACCCAAAGAAAAGAGAGUAUAAGCUCAGAGAGAAACACUAAAACUUGGAUGGAAGUUUAUCAUUUCCAGGCAGUCUUUCUGGAAAAACUUUUCUGGAAAUCGGGUUCCACUGAAAAGCCUGGCUCAAAACCCAAAGAAAAGAGAGUAUAAGCUCAGAGAGAAACACUAAAGCAUGCGGCAAAAAUGGUGUGUUUUUGUCCCUGAUUUUGAUAAUUUGGAAAAGAAAAUUUGUUCUAUAAUAAAUCAGGGCCAAAAGAGCAAAGCCUUGAGUGAAAAUAUGCAGCCUGUUUAUGAUUAGAUUAGUUUUUUUGACACGACGAAGAUUAAGAGGAAGUGUGUUCUCCAUCGUUUUUUGCUUUUUACUUUGUUCAUUACAAGGUUCAAUAUAUCUGAUUAUAUAGAAGAAUGUGCUUGAUGGACCCUUAAUUUAAUUCUCGCAUUGAUGAUUAGGCUAGUCUUGAACGUGAAUU